UACGUAGGGCGCAAGCGUUGUCCGGAAUCAUUGGGCGUAAAGAGCUCGUAGGCGGCCUGUUGCGUCCGCUGUGAAAUCCCGGGGCUUAACCCCGGGCGUGCAGUGGAUACGGGCUGGCUGGAGGCAGGCAGGGGAGAACGGAAUUCCCGGUGUAGCGGUGAAAUGCGCAGAUAUCGGGAGGAGCACCGAUGGCGAAGGCAGGUCUCUGGGCAUUAACUGACGCUGAGGAGCGAAAGCAUGGGGAGCGAACAGG
RNAcentral lists this ribosomal RNA (253 nucleotides) under uncultured bacterium. RNAcentral describes it as "partial 16S ribosomal RNA". It matches the Rfam family "Bacterial small subunit ribosomal RNA", at positions 524 to 776 of the family's 1533-position model. The record is from RNAcentral.